GACGAACGCUGGCGGCGUGCCUAACACAUGCAAGUCGAACGGGGUUGAGGUCUUCGGACCUUAACUUAGUGGCGAACGGGUGAGUAACGCGUGAGAAACCUGCCUUUCAGUGGGGGACAACAGUUGGAAACGACUGCUAAUACCGCAUAAUGUUAUUUGGGGGCAUCCCCGAAUAACCAAAGAUUUAUUGCUGAAAGAUGGUCUCGCGUCUGAUUAGCUAGAUGGCGGGGUAACGCCCACCAUGGCGACGAUCAGUAGCCGGUCUGAGAGGAUGAACGGCCACAUUGGGACUGAGAUACGGCCCAGACUCCUACGGGAGGCAGCAGUGGGGAAUAUUGGGCAAUGGGCGCAAGCCUGACCCAGCAACGCCGCGUGAAGGAAGAAGGCUUUCGGGUGUAAACUCUUUAUGAGGGACGAUAGUGACGGUACCUCAUGAAUAAGCCACGGCUAACUACGUG
This 458-nucleotide ribosomal RNA is filed under the name uncultured bacterium. Its description in RNAcentral is "bacterial SSU rRNA". It matches the Rfam family "Bacterial small subunit ribosomal RNA", at positions 28 to 507 of the family's 1533-position model. The record is from RNAcentral.